This is a non-coding RNA of Pangasianodon gigas (Mekong giant catfish), 74 nucleotides long. The record is from the annotation of a GenBank genome assembly. NCBI's taxonomy places the organism in Eukaryota, Metazoa, Chordata, Actinopteri, Siluriformes, Pangasiidae.
GACAGUGAUGGCUGAAUGGUUAUGGCUCUGGGUUCCUGAUCAGAAGGUCAAGGGUUCAAGCCCCAGCACUGUCA